GAAGGAAAUUAAGUACGGAAGUUCCUGAUUUCACGCUGUCAAGAAAAGCCUCUAGGAAGAGUAGUACUGCCCGUACCGCAAACCGACACAGGUAGAUGAGGAGAGAAUCCUAAGGUGAGCGAGAGAACUCUCGUUAAGGAACUCGGCAAAAUGACCCCGUAACUUCGGGAGAAGGGGUGCUCUAUUAGGGUGCAAGCCCGAGAGAGCCGCAGUGAAUAGGCCCAGGCGACUGUUUAGCAAAAACACAGGUCUCUGCAAAACCGUAAGGUGACGUAUAGGGGCUGACGCCUGCCCGGUGCUGGAAGGUUAAGAGGAGUGCUUAGCUUCGGCGAAGGUACGAAUUGAAGCCCCAGUAAACGGCGGCCGUAACUAUAACGGUCCUAAGGUAGCGAAAUUCCUUGUCGGGUAAGUUCCGACCCGCACGAAAGGCGCAACGAUCUGGGCACUGUCUCAACGAGAGACUCGGUGAAAUUAUAGUACCUGUGAAGAUGCAGGUUACCCGCGACAGGACGGAAAGACCCCGUGGAGCUUUACUGCAACCUGAUAUGGAAUGUUUGUACCGCUUGUACAGGAUAGGUAGGAGCCGAAGAGACGUGUGCGCUAG
Molecule: ribosomal RNA, 604 nt
Filed under: Listeria monocytogenes
Lineage: Bacteria; Bacillati; Bacillota; Bacilli; Caryophanales; Listeriaceae
Description: partial 23S ribosomal RNA
Rfam family: Bacterial large subunit ribosomal RNA
Source: RNAcentral